UCUGUGUUUAUGUGUUAUAUGAAGUACUAAACAACAUUCAUUGUAGGCAAUCCUUUAUUUUACUGUUUUCAUGUCAUUGGACAUGUUGAACUCAGUUCAGUAUUUAAUUUAUAGUUGCUGUUGAGUUUGAAUAUAUAACAAGUCAGUAUAAAUUGCAUUUGUUUACAUGCAUGAUCAAUGCCCAUAACUGGCACUAUAACAAUUUCUAUGCAAUUACAUUCCCUAAAGUCAAUUAAUUGGAAGUCGAAGGUAACCUGCACAUGC
Molecule: non-coding RNA, 264 nt
Organism: Paramuricea clavata
Lineage: Eukaryota; Metazoa; Cnidaria; Anthozoa; Malacalcyonacea; Plexauridae
Source: the annotation of a GenBank genome assembly